GAUGAAGAACGUAGCGAAAUGCGAUACGUAAUGUGAAUUGCAGAAUUCAGUGAAUCAUCGAGUCUUUGAACGCACAUUGCGCCCCCUGGUAUUCCGGGGGGCAUGCCUGUCCGAGCGUCAUUGCUGCCCUCAAGCACGGCUUGUGUGUUGGGCCCCGUCCUCCGAUCCCGGGGGACGGGCCCGAAAGGCAGCGGCGGCACCGCGUCCGGUCCUCGAGCGUAUGGGGCUUUGUCACCCGCUCUGUAGGCCCGGCCGGCGCUUGCCGAUCAACCCAAAUUUUUAUCCAGGUUGACCUCGGAUCAGGUAUGGAUACCCGCUGAACUUAAGCAUAUCAAUAAGCGGAGGA
RNAcentral lists this unclassified non-coding RNA (346 nucleotides) under soil metagenome. RNAcentral's name for it is "partial contains 5.8S ribosomal RNA, internal transcribed spacer 2, and large subunit ribosomal RNA". The stretch from base 1 to 120 matches the Rfam family "5.8S ribosomal RNA", at positions 35 to 154 of the family's 154-position model. The record is from RNAcentral.